UACGUAGGGUGCGAGCGUUAAUCGGAAUUACUGGGCGUAAAGCGUGCGCAGGCGGUUCGUUGUGUCGGUGGUGAAAGCCCCGGGCUUAACCUGGGAAUGGCCGUCGAAACUGGCGAACUGGAGUGUGGCAGAGGGGGGUGGAAUUCCGCGUGUAGCAGUGAAAUGCGUAGAGAUGCGGAGGAACACCGAUGGCGAAGGCAGCCCCCUGGGCUGACACUGACGCUCAGGCACGAAAGCGUGGGGAGCAAACAGG
RNAcentral lists this ribosomal RNA (253 nucleotides) under uncultured bacterium. RNAcentral's name for it is "partial 16S ribosomal RNA". It matches the Rfam family "Bacterial small subunit ribosomal RNA", at positions 524 to 776 of the family's 1533-position model. The record is from RNAcentral.